CCCCUACGGGAGGUAGCAGUGGGGAAUUUUGGACAAUGGGCGCAAGCCUGAUCCAGCUAUUCCGCGUGUGGGAUGACGGCCUUCGGGUUGUAAACCACUUUUGUAGAGAGCGAAAAGUCUGUUGAUAAUACCGAUAGAUGAUGACGGUACUCUAAGAAUAAGCACCGGCUAACUACGUGCCAGCAGCCGCGGUAAUACGUAGGGUGCGAGCGUUAAUCGGAAUUACUGGGCGUAAAGGGUGUGCAGGCGGUUUUGCAAGAUGGAUGUGAAAGCCCCCGGCUUUACCUUGGAAAGCCAUA
Molecule: ribosomal RNA, 299 nt
Filed under: uncultured bacterium
Lineage: Bacteria
Description: partial 16S ribosomal RNA
Rfam family: Bacterial small subunit ribosomal RNA
Source: RNAcentral